GAAGGUGGCCUGUGAGGGUUGCUGGAGGUAUCAGAAGUGCGAAUGCUGACAUAAGUAACGAUAAAGCGGGUGAAAAGCCCGCUCGCCGGAAGACCAAGGGUUCCUGUCCAACGUUAAUCGGGGCAGGGUGAGUCGACCCCUAAGGCGAGGCCGAAAGGCGUAGUCGAUGGGAAACGGGUUAAUAUUCCCGUACUUGGUGUUACUGCGAAGGGGGGACGGAGAAGGCUAUGUUGGCCGGGCGACGGUUGUCCCGGUUUAAGCGUGUAGGUGUGUGUUCCAGGUAAAUCCGGUUCACUUUAACACUGAGGCGUGACGACGAGGCACUACGGUGCUGAAGCAACAAAUGCCCUGCUUCCAGGAAAAGCCUCUAAGCAUCAGGUAACAUCAAAUCGUACCCCAAACCGACACAGGUGGUCAGGUAGAGAAUACCAAGGCGCUUGAGAGAACUCGGGUGAAGGAACUAGGCAAAAUGGUGCCGUAACUUCGGGAGAAGGCACGCUGACACGUAGGUGAAGUGAUUUACUCAUGGAGCUGAAGUCAGUCGAAGAUACCAGCUGGCUGCAACUGUUUAUUAAAAACACAGCACUGUGCAAACACGAAAGUGGACGUAUACGGUGUGACGCCUGCCCGGUGCCGGAAGGUUAAUUGAUGGGGUCAGCGCAAGCGAAGCUCCUGAUCGAAGCCCCGGUAAACGGCGGCCGUAACUAUAACGGUCCUAAGGUAGCGAAAUUCCUUGUCGGGUAAGUUCCGACCUGCACGAAUGGCGUAAUGAUGGCCAGGCUGUCUCCACCCGAGACUCAGUGAAAUUGAACUCGCUGUGAAGAUGCAGUGUACCCGCGGCAAGACGGAAAGACCCCGUGAACCUUUACUAUAGCUUGACACUGAACAUUGAGCCUUGAUGUGUAGGAUAGGUGGGAGGCUUUGAA
This 926-nucleotide ribosomal RNA is filed under the name Salmonella enterica. RNAcentral describes it as "partial 23S ribosomal RNA". It matches the Rfam family "Bacterial large subunit ribosomal RNA", at positions 1252 to 2161 of the family's 2925-position model. Lineage: Bacteria; Pseudomonadati; Pseudomonadota; Gammaproteobacteria; Enterobacterales; Enterobacteriaceae. RNAcentral also lists the same sequence under 1 other name. The record is from RNAcentral.